This is a long non-coding RNA of Gambusia affinis (western mosquitofish), 310 nucleotides long. RefSeq lists it as uncharacterized. The record is from RefSeq and is a predicted model, not a curated record. The transcript has 2 exons. NCBI's taxonomy places the organism in Eukaryota, Metazoa, Chordata, Actinopteri, Cyprinodontiformes, Poeciliidae.
ACAGAGAGAGAAACAAAAAAGACAGAAUACCCGUUGUUUUAAGUUAUUCUUCAACGGACUUUCAGCAUUAAACACUUAAUUAAUAACACCUACAUCUCCAGGAUUCGGGAAAUUUCUAACGACAGCCGUGUUGGCAGGCGGUUACAUGGAGUUGCUAUGACAACAAUAAACAAACCACAAACUAGCUCUCGCCUCGUUCCUUUUAAACACUCAGCCAGAUGGAGGGAAGUCAGCGCUGGAAGACUCAUGAAAUCCCAGCAAUUUGAGAGUGCACCCCAAGGAAUCUCAUUAAAGCAGCUCCACACGUCAA